This 250-nucleotide ribosomal RNA is filed under the name uncultured prokaryote. RNAcentral's name for it is "partial 16S ribosomal RNA". It matches the Rfam family "Bacterial small subunit ribosomal RNA", at positions 524 to 774 of the family's 1533-position model. The record is from RNAcentral.
UACGUAGGUCUCAAGCGUUAUCCGGAUUUACUGGGCGUAAAGAAUCUGUAGUCGGAUUUGUAAGUCCGCUUUCAAAUCCCACGACUCAAUCGUGGAAAGGGAGUGGAUACUGCACAUCUAGAACUCGUGAGGGGUUAGUGGAAUUUCCGGUGGAGCGGUGAAAUGCGUUGAUAUCGGAAAGAACGCCGAAAGCGAAAGCAGCUAACUAUCACAUGUUGACGAUGAGAGAUGAAAGUUUGGGUAGCAAACG